This 2073-nucleotide ribosomal RNA is filed under the name Triticum aestivum (bread wheat). Its description in RNAcentral is "partial small subunit ribosomal RNA". Lineage: Eukaryota; Viridiplantae; Streptophyta; Magnoliopsida; Poales; Poaceae. The record is from RNAcentral.
AUGGCACCAUGGAACAACUUGUGGGCUGGCAGGGCCGCCAUUGCCGGCAGCAAUGCCUACCGCGACAUGCCGGUCAUUGUCAAGAUGGAGAACCCCAACUGGUCUAUUUCAGAGAUUAACGGUGGCAGUGACAACGGCGAGGACUUCUUGGCCCGAGUAGGCGGGCAAAGGCGAAGAGUGAAGAACACGAAGCAGAUCACAUGGGUGUUUCGUCUCAAGGCCCACCGUGCCGCUGGUUGCCUAGCGUGGCUCACAUCCGCCGUGGUUGCGCUGGGCGACGCUGCACGCCGCCGUGUUGUGGCCGGCCGGACGGACUCUGACGCCACUGAUGGGGAAUGUGAGGAUGUGGCGGAACGGGCUCCCACUUCGAGGCGGUCUCGGUUCUACACGCUUAUCAAGGCUUGCCUCAUGAUGUCCAUAUUUCUCCUUGUUGUCGAGCUCGCCGCCUACUCCAACGGCAAGGGGAACCUCGUUGUCUUCAUCAAUUCUUUCAAUGCGUCGUGGAUACGCUUUCGUGCCGCCUACGUUGCCCCACCGCUCCAGCUCCUCGCCGAUGCAUGUGUGGUGCUCUUCCUAGUCCAGAGUGUCGACCGCCUCUUCCAGAGCCUCGGUUGCUUCUACAUUCUCAUCAAACGCAUCAAGCCUAAGCCUCUCUCUCCAGCACUGUCUGAUGCAGAGGACCCCAAUGUCGGCUAUUACCCCAUGGUGCUCGUACAAAUACCAAUGUGCAAUGAGAAAGAGGUGUAUCAGCAGUCGAUUGCAGCAGUCUGCAAUUUAGAUUGGCCGAGGUCCAACUUUCUUGUGCAGGUGCUGGACGACUCCGAUGACGUGGCAACGCAGGCAUUGAUCAAAGAUGAGGUGGAGAAGUGGAGGCACAGUGGUGCACACAUUGUGUACCGACAUCGUGUCCUUAGGGAGGGCUACAAGGCAGGUAACCUCAAGUCGGCGAUGAGUUGCAGUUAUGUGAAGGACUACGAGUAUGUCGCCAUCUUUGAUGCCGACUUCCAGCCAUACCCCGAUUUCUUGAAGCGCACUGUGCCGCAUUUUAAGGACAACGAGGAUCUGGGUCUUGUCCAAGCCAGAUGGUCAUUUGUGAACAAAGAUGAGAACCUAUUGACACGGUUGCAGAACAUUAACCUAUGCUUCCACUUUGAGGUGGAGCAACAGGUGAAUGGUGUGUUCAUCAACUUCUUUGGGUUCAAUGGCACAGCUGGGGUGUGGAGGAUCAAGGCUGUGGAGGACUCAGGAGGGUGGAUGGAACGAACAACGGUGGAAGACAUGGACAUUGCUGUUCGUGCACACCUAAAGGGCUGGAAGUUUGUCUUUCUGAAUGAUGUUGAGUGCCAAUGCGAAUUACCAGAGUCAUACGAGGCUUACCGCAAGCAACAACACCGGUGGCAUUCGGGGCCGAUGCAAUUGUUUAGGCUAUGCUUGCCAGAUAUCAUUAGAUGCAAGAUUGUCUUCUGGAAGAAGGCCAACCUAAUAUUCCUUUUCUUCUUGCUACGCAAGCUCAUCUUGCCUUUUUAUUCCUUCACACUCUUCUGCAUUAUCCUCCCAAUGACAAUGUUUGUGCCUGAAGCUGAGCUUCCCAAUUGGGUCGUCUGUUACAUCCCAGUGUUAAUGUCAUUCCUAAACAUUGUCCCUACACCGAAAUCGUUCCCGUUUAUCAUCCCAUACCUGCUCUUCGAGAACACCAUGUCUGUUACCAAGUUCAAUGCCAUGAUCUCUGGACUGUUCCAGCUAGGAAGUACAUAUGAGUGGGUCGUCACCAAGAAGUCUGGUCGAUCAUUGGAGGGUGAUCUCAUUUCCUUGGCGCCCAAGGGGUUGGAGCAACUAAAAUAUCGCUCAGUGCCAGCCAUCAACCUAGCAAUCAAGGAGCAAUCGAAGGCCAAAAAGGAAUCCAAGAAGUACAACCGAAUAUAUAAGAAGGAGCUUGCCAUGUCACUACUCCUCCUGUCCGCCGCCGCUCGCAGCUUACUAUCAAAGCAAGGGAUUCACUUCUAUUUCCUGUUGUUCCAAGGCAUCUCCUUUUUGCUUGUGGGACUCGAUCUCAUAGGUCAGGACAUCAAAUAA